UGGGGUGUAGCUCAGUGGCAGAAUGCUUGCCUCGCAGGUAUGAGGUGCUGGGUUUGAUCCUCAACACCACAU
This 72-nucleotide transfer RNA is filed under the name Marmota monax (woodchuck). RNAcentral describes it as "tRNA.Ala". Lineage: Eukaryota; Metazoa; Chordata; Mammalia; Rodentia; Sciuridae. The record is from RNAcentral.